GACGAACGCUGGCGGCGUGCUUAACACAUGCAAGUCGAACGGAAAGGCCCUGCUUUUGUGGGGUGCUCGAGUGGCGAACGGGUGAGUAACACGUGAGUAACCUGCCCUUGACUUUGGGAUAACUUCAGGAAACUGGGGCUAAUACCGGAUAGGAGCUCCUGCUGCAUGGUGGGGGUUGGAAAGUUUCGGUGGUUGGGGAUGGACUCGCGGCUUAUCAGCUUGUUGGUGGGGUAGUGGCUUACCAAGGCUUUGACGGGUAGCCGGCCUGAGAGGGUGACCGGCCACAUUGGGACUGAGAUACGGCCCAGACUGCUACGGGAGGCAGCAGUGGGGAAUAUUGCACAAUGGGCGGAAGCCUGAUGCAGCAACGCCGCGUGCGGGAUGACGGACUUCGGGUUGUAAACCGCUUUCGCCUGUGACGAAGCGUGAGUGACGGUAAUGGGUAAAGAAGCACCGGCUAACUACGUG
RNAcentral lists this ribosomal RNA (468 nucleotides) under uncultured bacterium. Its description in RNAcentral is "partial 16S ribosomal RNA". It matches the Rfam family "Bacterial small subunit ribosomal RNA", at positions 28 to 507 of the family's 1533-position model. The record is from RNAcentral.